Molecule: ribosomal RNA, 1543 nt
Filed under: Acinetobacter baumannii
Lineage: Bacteria; Pseudomonadati; Pseudomonadota; Gammaproteobacteria; Moraxellales; Moraxellaceae
Description: partial 23S ribosomal RNA
Rfam family: Bacterial large subunit ribosomal RNA
Source: RNAcentral
CGAAUGCUGACGUGAGUAACGACAAAACGGGUGAAAAACCCGUUCGCCGAAAGACCAAGGGUUCCAGUCCAACGUUAAUCGGGGCUGGGUGAGUCGACCCCUAAGGCGAGGCCGAAAGGCGUAGUCGAUGGGAAAAUGGUUAAUAUUCCAUUACUUCUGUGUAAUGCGAUGAGAGGACGGAGAAGGCUAAAUCAGCCUGGCGUUGGUUGUCCAGGUGAAAGGAUGUAGGCAUGUAUCUUAGGCAAAUCCGGGGUACUCUAUGCUGAGAUCUGAUAGCAAGCUGUACUUGUACAGCGAAGUGGUUGAUGCCAUGCUUCCAGGAAAAGUCUCUAAGCUUCAGUUACACAGGAAUCGUACCCGAAACCGACACAGGUGGUCAGGUCGAGUAGACCAAGGCGCUUGAGAGAACUCUGCUGAAGGAACUAGGCAAAAUGGUACCGUAACUUCGGGAGAAGGUACGCUGUUGUUGGUGAUGGAACUCGCUUCCUGAGCUGACGACAGCCGCAGAAACCAGGCCGCUGCAACUGUUUAUUAAAAACAUAGCACUCUGCAAACACGAAAGUGGACGUAUAGGGUGUGAUGCCUGCCCGGUGCUGGAAGGUUAAUUGAUGGGGUUAGCGUAAGCGAAGCUCUUGAUCGAAGCCCCAGUAAACGGCGGCCGUAACUAUAACGGUCCUAAGGUAGCGAAAUUCCUUGUCGGGUAAGUUCCGACCUGCACGAAUGGCAUAAUGAUGGCGGCGCUGUCUCCAGCAGAGGCUCAGUGAAAUCGAAAUCGCUGUGAAGAUGCAGUGUACCCGCGGCUAGACGGAAAGACCCCGUGAACCUUUACUGCAGCUUGACACUGAACUUUGACCUUACUUGUGUAGGAUAGGUGGGAGGCUUUGAAGCUGGAACGCUAGUUCCAGUGGAGCCGUCCUUGAAAUACCACCCUGGUAAUGUUGAGGUUCUAACUCUGUCCCGUGAUCCGGGACGAGGACCGUGUCUGGUGGGUAGUUUGACUGGGGCGGUCUCCUCCUAAAGAGUAACGGAGGAGUACGAAGGUGCGCUCAGCGUGGUCGGAAAUCACGCGUAGAGUAUAAAGGCAAAAGCGCGCUUAACUGCGAGACCCACAAGUCGAGCAGGUACGAAAGUAGGUCUUAGUGAUCCGGUGGUUCUGUAUGGAAGGGCCAUCGCUCAACGGAUAAAAGGUACUCUGGGGAUAACAGGCUGAUACCGCCCAAGAGUUCAUAUCGACGGCGGUGUUUGGCACCUCGAUGUCGGCUCAUCUCAUCCUGGGGCUGAAGCAGGUCCCAAGGGUAUGGCUGUUCGCCAUUUAAAGAGGUACGCGAGCUGGGUUUAGAACGUCGUGAGACAGUUCGGUCCCUAUCUACCGUGGGCGCUGGAAAUUUGAGAGGAUCUGCUCCUAGUACGAGAGGACCAGAGUGGACGAACCUCUGGUGUACCGGUUGUGACGCCAGUCGCAUCGCCGGGUAGCUAUGUUCGGAAGGGAUAACCGCUGAAAGCAUCUAAGCGGGAAGCCUACCUCAAGAUAAGAUUUCCCUAG